Molecule: ribosomal RNA, 255 nt
Filed under: uncultured bacterium
Lineage: Bacteria
Description: partial 16S ribosomal RNA
Rfam family: Bacterial small subunit ribosomal RNA
Source: RNAcentral
GCACAGAGGGAAGCCAGGUGGCGACACCGCGCGGAACCCGAAAGCCGUUCUCAGUUCGGAUCGGAGUCUGCAACCCGACUCCGUGAAGCUGGAUUCGCUAGUAAUCGCGCAUCAGCCAUGGCGCGGUGAAUACGUUCCCGGGCCUUGUACACACCGCCCGUCAAGCCAUGGGAGCCGGGGGUGCUUGAAGUGCGUCGCCGCAAGGCGCGCCCUAGAGCAAAACCGGUGACUGGGGCUAAGUCGUAACAAGGUAGC